AAAAAAAAGUUCGGUUUCGAUUUAGAAUUCCUACGCUUUACCUUUUUUAUAUAUAAUAUUGGCAAGGCGUUUGAAUUCUGAAUCCGAAUCAACUGUUUUC
Molecule: microRNA precursor, 100 nt
Filed under: Pediculus humanus corporis (human body louse)
Lineage: Eukaryota; Metazoa; Arthropoda; Insecta; Psocodea; Pediculidae
Description: microRNA, putative
Rfam family: mir-927 microRNA precursor family (bases 6-93)
Source: RNAcentral